This is a long non-coding RNA of Oncorhynchus tshawytscha (Chinook salmon), 527 nucleotides long. The record is from Ensembl. NCBI's taxonomy places the organism in Eukaryota, Metazoa, Chordata, Actinopteri, Salmoniformes, Salmonidae.
GUCUGUACUGUGUGUGUGUGUGUGUGUGUCUGUGUGGUGGUCAGUGUAAUGACUACUGUACUGGUCAGUGUACUGUAGUCUCUAAGACUCACCACAGAGUGAGACUGGUACCUGCCGACAGGGACUGAGAGAUAUCGGUCUCCCUGUGCGAUGGUUCUAUACAAAACACUAACGUUCAGAAGAGACUUUGUGUGUGUGUGAGAGAGAGAGAGGUCAGUGUGUGAGAGAGAGAGUGAGGUCAGUGUGUGAGAGAGAGGGUGAGGUCAGUGUGUGUGUGUGAGAGAGAGGGUGAGGUCAGUGUGUGAGAGAGAGAGUGAGGUCAGUGUGUGAGAGAGAGUGAGGUCAGUGUGUGUGUGUGAGAGAGAGGGUGAGGUCAGUGUGUGUGUGUGAGAGAGAGAGGUCAGUGUGUGUGAGAGAGAGAGAGUGAGGUCAGUGUGUGUGUGUGAGAGAGAGAGAGAGAGGUCAGUGUGUGUGUGUGAGAGAGAGAGAGAGGUCAGUGUGUGUGUGAGAGAGAGAGAGGGGUCAGU